Molecule: ribosomal RNA, 446 nt
Filed under: uncultured bacterium
Lineage: Bacteria
Description: partial 16S ribosomal RNA
Rfam family: Bacterial small subunit ribosomal RNA
Source: RNAcentral
CCUACGGGAGGCUGCAGUCGAGAAUCAUUCACAAUGGGGGAAACCCUGAUGGUGCGACGCCGCGUGGGGGAAUGAAGGUCUUCGGAUUGUAAACCCCUGUCAUGUGGGAGCAAAUUAAAAAGAUAGUACCACAAGAGGAAGAGACGGCUAACUCUGUGCCAGCAGCCGCGGUAAUACAGAGGUCUCAAGCGUUGUUCGGAAUCACUGGGCGUAAAGCGUGCGUAGGCUGUUUCGUAAGUCGUGUGUGAAAGGCGGGGGCUCAACCGGCGGACGGCAGAUGAUACUGCGAGACUAGAGUAAAGGAGAGGGAGGCGGAAUUCGCGGUGUAGCAGUGAAAUGCGUAGAUAUCGAGAAGAACACUCGUGGCGAAGGCAGGUUCCUGGACAUUAACUGACGCUGAGGCACGAAGGCCAGGGGAGCGAAAGGGAUUAGAUACCCCUGUAGUC